UUGCGGGCCUUCCAGCGUGUUUGGGUCUAGGGUGACUCAGUGCAUUCCUGCAGUGCUUGCUAGAAUGUCCUGAAAUGGCUUGAGGCUUUGCCCUGUCCUUCCUUGGAGCACGGUCGGAGACAUUUCAGACAGCU
Molecule: small nucleolar RNA, 134 nt
Organism: Mustela putorius furo (domestic ferret)
Lineage: Eukaryota; Metazoa; Chordata; Mammalia; Carnivora; Mustelidae
Source: Ensembl